UACGAAGGGGGCUAGCGUUGCUCGGAAUCACUGGGCGUAAAGGGCGCGUAGGCGGGUCUUUAAGUCAGGGGUGAAAUCCUGGAGCUCAACUCCAGAACUGCCUUUGAUACUGAAGAUCUUGAGUCCGGGAGAGGUGAGUGGAACUGCGAGUGUAGAGGUGAAAUUCGUAGAUAUUCGCAAGAGCACCAGUGGCGAAGGCGGCUCACUGGCCCGGUACUGACGCUGAGGCACGAAAGCGUGGGGAGCAAACAGG
This 253-nucleotide ribosomal RNA is filed under the name uncultured bacterium. RNAcentral's name for it is "partial 16S ribosomal RNA". It matches the Rfam family "Bacterial small subunit ribosomal RNA", at positions 524 to 776 of the family's 1533-position model. The record is from RNAcentral.